RNAcentral lists this unclassified non-coding RNA (401 nucleotides) under fungal sp. Its description in RNAcentral is "partial internal transcribed spacer region". The stretch from base 1 to 46 matches the Rfam family "Eukaryotic small subunit ribosomal RNA", at positions 1786 to 1831 of the family's 1831-position model. The record is from RNAcentral. Lineage: Eukaryota; Fungi.
AAGUCGUAACAAGGUUUCCGUAGGUGAACCUGCGGAAGGAUCAUUCACACAUAAAAAUCCACGUUGGUAGCAAUAUGUUGUAGCAAUAUGACAUUGUUAUCAUGUGGUAAACCCAAAUUUAAUACAAACCCCCAAAACGUCAUUACACCCACGUCAUUACACCCCCGUAUUAUGCCAGGCUUGCUUAAAGAUACCAUAUUUAAUUAUAUGGUGCUCGCUUGGUAUGGUACACCCCGGCCGUACCUGACAAAUCUAUAAAAUUCCAAAGCCUCUGAGCUCUGGUCGCCGAGUAGGGUACGGUACAAAUUUUAUAAUUAACUAUUUUAUAACAAUUUUAACAAUUUUAUUUUUUAAUUUUAACUUUAAAUAUACAACCCUUUGCAAUGGAUAUCUUGGUUCUC